GUCCAAGGGAGUUCAGACUCGUGCUGUUUUUUUAUGGUUGUAGACCUCACCGGGCUGCUUCAGUGGUGACUAUUUCUACCUGAAGAUGCAUGCAUUUUUUCAGCUUCUUCUACCAGUGUUAGCCUUUGUGUCCAGUAGCUAUGACAAAUGAAGAAAUUACACCUCAUCAAGAUGAAGUACUGGAAAGUGAAAAAGAUUGAGAUAGCUUCAGUGGGACAUUAAGCACCUCAAAGAAGUGGAGCACCAAAAUGCAAAAGACCACUGAGGUGAUGUAAGGCAUUUGUGGAAGAUCCUGGUCAUUACCCACAGUGCUGAGCAAACCAUCUCUUCUGAGGGCACCAGCAGAGACAUCCUUGCUGUGUCUGGCACCUGGGACAGGCAACCAGCGUGGUGCCUAGCCUGUGGCCAGCUGAGAUCAGGUCCUCAGGAUCCAUCAGCACAAGAGGACUUAUGGUGACCUUCUGAGGAUCACUGACAUCAGUCACCACUGAAGCACAUACUUCUCCUUCCCUUUAUUCCCUGCCAAAAAUACCAUGGCCAAGGGACACAGGAGACAGGAAGACAGCUCAGGUAGCUUUUGGAAAGUUUCAUCACAGUGC
RNAcentral lists this long non-coding RNA (599 nucleotides) under Anser brachyrhynchus (Pink-footed goose). RNAcentral describes it as "lncRNA (ENSABRG00000016584.1)". Lineage: Eukaryota; Metazoa; Chordata; Aves; Anseriformes; Anatidae. The record is from RNAcentral.